AUCCCUGUAGCUCAGUUGGUAGAGCAUGGUGUUUGCAACACCAGGGUUGUGGGUUCAAUUCCCAUGGGGGGCC
Molecule: non-coding RNA, 73 nt
Organism: Salmo salar (Atlantic salmon)
Lineage: Eukaryota; Metazoa; Chordata; Actinopteri; Salmoniformes; Salmonidae
Source: Rfam